RNAcentral lists this ribosomal RNA (247 nucleotides) under uncultured Gemella sp. RNAcentral describes it as "partial 16S ribosomal RNA". It matches the Rfam family "Bacterial small subunit ribosomal RNA", at positions 116 to 355 of the family's 1533-position model. The record is from RNAcentral. Lineage: Bacteria; Bacillati; Bacillota; Bacilli; Caryophanales; Gemellaceae.
CGUAAAGAACCUAUCUUAUAGACAGGAACAACUAUUGGAAACGAUAGCUAAUACCUGAUAAGAAAGAAACUCGCAUGAGAGAAGUUCGAAAGUCGGAGCAAUCUGACACUAUAAGAUGGCUUUGCGGUGCAUUAGCUAGUUGGUAGGGUAAAAGCCUACCAAGGCGACGAUGCAUAGCCGACCUGAGAGGGUGAUCGGCCACAUUGGGACUGAGACACGGCCCAGACUCCUACGGGAGGCAGCAGCU